CACGUAGUUAGCCGGUGCUUCUUAACAAAGGUACCGUCACCACACCCAAAAAGUAUGGCUUCGUCCCUAACGAAAGGAGUUUACAACCCGAAGGCCGUCAUCCCCCACGCGGCGUCGCUGCAUCAGGCUUGCGCCCAUUGUGCAAUAUUCCCCACUGCUGCCUCCCGUAGGAGUCUGGGCCGUAUCUCAGUCCCAAUGUGGCCGUCCACCCUCUCAGGCCGGCUACCCGUCGACGCCUUGGUAGGCCAUUACCCCACCAACAAGCUGAUAGGCCGCGAGCUCAUCCUGCACCAAAACAAUAAUCUUUCCACCAUGAGACACUAAACCAUGGUCCUAUCCGGUAUUAGACCCAGUUUCCCAAGCUUAUCCCGAAGUACAGGGCAGAUCACCCACGUGUUACUCACCCGUUCGCCACUCGAGCACCCCCACCAAGGUGGGGGCCUUUCCGUUCGACUUGCAUGUGUUAAGCACGCCGCCAGCGUUCGUCCUUCGAGUCCAGGACUCAAACUCU
Molecule: ribosomal RNA, 511 nt
Filed under: uncultured Corynebacterium sp.
Lineage: Bacteria; Bacillati; Actinomycetota; Actinomycetes; Mycobacteriales; Corynebacteriaceae
Description: partial 16S ribosomal RNA
Source: RNAcentral